This 885-nucleotide ribosomal RNA is filed under the name uncultured bacterium. RNAcentral's name for it is "bacterial SSU rRNA". It matches the Rfam family "Bacterial small subunit ribosomal RNA", at positions 8 to 907 of the family's 1533-position model. The record is from RNAcentral.
AGAGUUUGAUCCUGGCUCAGGACUAACGCUGGCGGCGUGCUUAACACAUGCAAGUCGAGCGGAAAGGCCCUUUCGGGGAUACUCGAGCGGCGAACGGGUGAGUAACACGUGAGUAACCUGGCCUUCACUUUGGGAUAACCAUCGGAAACGGUGGCUAAUACCGGAUAUGACCUGGCCCCGCAUGGGGGUGGGUGGAAAGUUUUUUCGGUGGGGGAUGGACUCGCGGCCUAUCAGCUUGUUGGUGGGGUAAUGGCCUACCAAGGCGAUGACGGGUAGCCGGCCUGAGAGGGCGACCGGCCACACUGGGACUGAGACACGGCCCAGACUCCUACGGGAGGCAGCAGUGGGGAAUAUUGCACAAUGGGCGGAAGCCUGAUGCAGCGACGCCGCGUGAGGGAUGACGGCCUUCGGGUUGUAAACCUCUUUCAGCAGGGACGAAGCGAGAGUGACGGUACCUGCAGAAGAAGCGCCGGCCAACUACGUGCCAGCAGCCGCGGUAAGACGUAGGGCGCGAGCGUUGUCCGGAUUUAUUGGGCGUAAAGAGCUCGUAGGCGGCUCGUUGCGUCCAUCGUGAAAACUCAGGGCUUAACUCUGAGCUUGCGGUGGAUACGGGCGGGCUAGAGUUCGGUAGGGGAGACUGGAAUUCCUGGUGUAGCGGUGAAUGCGCAGAUAUCGGGAGGAACACCAGCGGCGAAGGCGGCACUCUGGGCUGGAACUGACGCUGAGGGGCGAAAGCGUGGGUAGCAAACAGGAUUAGAUACCCUGGUAGUCCACGCCGUAAACGUUGGGCACUAGGUGUGGGGACCCUCCAACGGUUUCCGUGCCGUAGCUAACGCAUUAAGUGCCCCGCCUGGGGAGUACGGCCGCAAGGCUAAAACUCAAAGG